GUUGUAUAGUCAAGUAAUUAAGUGCAUGUGGUGGAUGCCUUGGCAGUCAGAGGCGAUGAAAGACGUGAUAGCCUGCGAAAAGCUCCGGGGAGGCGGCAAAUAUCCUUUGAUCCGGAGAUGUCUGAAUGGGGGAACCCACCUACUUUAAGGUAGGUAUUGCAACAUGAAUACAUAGUGUUGCAAGGCGAACGAGGGGAAGUGAAACAUCUCAGUACCCUUAGGAAAAGAAAUCAAUUGAGAUUCCCUCAGUAGCGGCGAGCGAACGGGGAUCAGCCCAUUAAGUUAUGUGUGUUUUAGUGGAACGCUCUGGGAAGUGCGAACGUAGAGGGUGAUAUUCCCGUACACGAAAGGGCACACAUAAUGAUGACGAGUAGGGCGAGGCACGUGAAACCUUGUCUGAAUAUGGGGGGACCAUCCUCCAAGGCUAAAUACUCCUGACUGACCGAUAGUGAACCAGUACCGUGAGGGAAAGGCGAAAAGAACCCCUGUGAGGGGAGUGAAAUAGAUCCUGAAACCGCAUGCAUACAAGCAGUGGGAGCACCUUCGUGGUGUGACUGCGUACCUUUUGUAUAAUUGGUCAGCGACUUAUAUUCAGUAGCGAGGUUAACCGUAUAGGGGAGCCGUAGAGAAAUCGAGUCUUAAUAGGGCGUUUAGUUGCUGGGUAUAGACCCGAAACCAGGCGAUCUAUCCAUGAGCAGGUUGAAGGUUGGGUAACACUAACUGGAGGACCGAACCCACUGUCGUUGAAAAGCCAGGGGAUGACUUGUGGAUAGGGGUGAAAGGCUAAUCAAGCCUGGUGAUAGCUGGUUCUCCCCGAAAGCUAUUUAGGUAGCGCCUCGGACGAAUACCAUAGGGGGUAGAGCACUGUUUCGGCUAGGGGGUCAUCCCGACUUACCAAACCGAUGCAAACUCCGAAUACCUAUGAGUACUAUCCGGGAGACAGACUGCGGGUGCUAACGUCCGUAGUCAAGAGGAAAACAAUCCAGACCGCCAGCUAAGGCCCCAAAAUCAUAGUUAAGUGGGAAACGAUGUGGGAAGGCAUAGACAGCUAGGAGGUUGGCUUAGAAGCAGCCACCCUUUAAAGAAAGCGUAAUAGCUCACUAGUCGAGUCGGCCUGCGCGGAAGAUGUAACGGGGCUAAAACUAUGUGCCGAAGCUGCGGAUGUAUACUUUGUAUACGUGGUAGGGGAGCGUUCUGUAAGCCGAUGAAGGUGUGUUGAGAAGCAUGCUGGAGGUAUCAGAAGUGCGAAUGCUGACGUGAGUAACGACAAAACGGGUGAAAAACCCGUUCGCCGAAAGACCAAGGGUUCCAGUCCAACGUUAAUCGGGGCUGGGUGAGUCGACCCCUAAGGCGAGGCCGAAAGGCGUAGUCGAUGGGAAAAUGGUUAAUAUUCCAUUACUUCUGUGUAAUGCGAUGAGAGGACGGAGAAGGCUAAAUCAGCCUGGCGUUGGUUGUCCAGGUGAAAGGAUGUAGGCAUGUAUCUUAGGCAAAUCCGGGGUACUCUAUGCUGAGAUCUGAUAGCAAGCUGUACUUGUACAGCGAAGUGGUUGAUGCCAUGCUUCCAGGAAAAGUCUCUAAGCUUCAGUUACACAGGAAUCGUACCCGAAACCGACACAGGUGGUCAGGUCGAGUAGACCAAGGCGCUUGAGAGAACUCUGCUGAAGGAACUAGGCAAAAUGGUACCGUAACUUCGGGAGAAGGUACGCUGUUGUUGGUGAUGGAACUCGCUUCCUGAGCUGACGACAGCCGCAGAAACCAGGCCGCUGCAACUGUUUAUUAAAAACAUAGCACUCUGCAAACACGAAAGUGGACGUAUAGGGUGUGAUGCCUGCCCGGUGCUGGAAGGUUAAUUGAUGGGGUUAGCGUAAGCGAAGCUCUUGAUCGAAGCCCCAGUAAACGGCGGCCGUAACUAUAACGGUCCUAAGGUAGCGAAAUUCCUUGUCGGGUAAGUUCCGACCUGCACGAAUGGCAUAAUGAUGGCGGCGCUGUCUCCAGCAGAGGCUCAGUGAAAUCGAAAUCGCUGUGAAGAUGCAGUGUACCCGCGGCUAGACGGAAAGACCCCGUGAACCUUUACUGCAGCUUGACACUGAACUUUGACCUUACUUGUGUAGGAUAGGUGGGAGGCUUUGAAGCUGGAACGCUAGUUCCAGUGGAGCCGUCCUUGAAAUACCACCCUGGUAAUGUUGAGGUUCUAACUCUGUCCCGUGAUCCGGGACGAGGACCGUGUCUGGUGGGUAGUUUGACUGGGGCGGUCUCCUCCUAAAGAGUAACGGAGGAGUACGAAGGUGCGCUCAGCGUGGUCGGAAAUCACGCGUAGAGUAUAAAGGCAAAAGCGCGCUUAACUGCGAGACCCACAAGUCGAGCAGGUACGAAAGUAGGUCUUAGUGAUCCGGUGGUUCUGUAUGGAAGGGCCAUCGCUCAACGGAUAAAAGGUACUCUGGGGAUAACAGGCUGAUACCGCCCAAGAGUUCAUAUCGACGGCGGUGUUUGGCACCUCGAUGUCGGCUCAUCUCAUCCUGGGGCUGAAGCAGGUCCCAAGGGUAUGGCUGUUCGCCAUUUAAAGAGGUACGCGAGCUGGGUUUAGAACGUCGUGAGACAGUUCGGUCCCUAUCUACCGUGGGCGCUGGAAAUUUGAGAGGAUCUGCUCCUAGUACGAGAGGACCAGAGUGGACGAACCUCUGGUGUACCGGUUGUGACGCCAGUCGCAUCGCCUGGUAGCUAUGUUCGGAAGGGAUAACCGCUGAAAGCAUCUAAGCGGGAAGCCUACCUCAAGAUAAGAUUUCCCUAGGACUUUAUGUCCUCUAAAGAGCCGUUCGAGACUAGGACGUUGAUAGGUUGGAUGUGGAAGCAUAGUGAUAUGUGAAGCUGACCAAUACUAAUUGCUCGUGAGGCUUGACUAUACAACACCCAAGCAGUUG
This 2918-nucleotide ribosomal RNA is filed under the name Acinetobacter baumannii. RNAcentral's name for it is "bacterial LSU rRNA". It matches the Rfam family "Bacterial large subunit ribosomal RNA". The record is from RNAcentral. Lineage: Bacteria; Pseudomonadati; Pseudomonadota; Gammaproteobacteria; Moraxellales; Moraxellaceae.